Molecule: ribosomal RNA, 1105 nt
Filed under: Staphylococcus warneri
Lineage: Bacteria; Bacillati; Bacillota; Bacilli; Caryophanales; Staphylococcaceae
Description: bacterial SSU rRNA
Rfam family: Bacterial small subunit ribosomal RNA
Source: RNAcentral
CUAUACAUGCAGUCGAGCGAAAGAUAAGGAGCUUGCUCCUUUGACGUUAGCGGCGGACGGGUGAGUAACACGUGGAUAACCUACCUAUAAGACUGGGAUAACUUCGGGAAACCGGAGCUAAUACCGGAUAACAUAUUGAACCGCAUGGUUCAAUAGUGAAAGGCGGCUUUGCUGUCACUUAUAGAUGGAUCCGCGCCGUAUUAGCUAGUUGGUAAGGUAACGGCUUACCAAGGCAACGAUACGUAGCCGACCUGAGAGGGUGAUCGGCCACACUGGAACUGAGACACGGUCCAGACUCCUACGGGAGGCAGCAGUAGGGAAUCUUCCGCAAUGGGCGAAAGCCUGACGGAGCAACGCCGCGUGAGUGAUGAAGGUCUUCGGAUCGUAAAACUCUGUUAUCAGGGAAGAACAAAUGUGUAAGUAACUGUGCACAUCUUGACGGUACCUGAUCAGAAAGCCACGGCUAACUACGUGCCAGCAGCCGCGGUAAUACGUAGGUGGCAAGCGUUAUCCGGAAUUAUUGGGCGUAAAGCGCGCGUAGGCGGUUUUUUAAGUCUGAUGUGAAAGCCCACGGCUCAACCGUGGAGGGUCAUUGGAAACUGGAAAACUUGAGUGCAGAAGAGGAAAGUGGAAUUCCAUGUGUAGCGGUGAAAUGCGCAGAGAUAUGGAGGAACACCAGUGGCGAAGGCGACUUUCUGGUCUGUAACUGACGCUGAUGUGCGAAAGCGUGGGGAUCAAACAGGAUUAGAUACCCUGGUAGUCCACGCCGUAAACGAUGAGUGCUAAGUGUUAGGGGGUUUCCGCCCCUUAGUGCUGCAGCUAACGCAUUAAGCACUCCGCCUGGGGAGUACGACCGCAAGGUUGAAACUCAAAGGAAUUGACGGGGACCCGCACAAGCGGUGGAGCAUGUGGUUUAAUUCGAAGCAACGCGAAGAACCUUACCAAAUCUUGACAUCCUUUGACUGCUCUAGAGAUAGAGUCUUCCCCUUCGGGGGACAAAGUGACAGGUGGUGCAUGGUUGUCGUCAGCUCGUGUCGUGAGAUGUUGGGUUAAGUCCCGCAACGAGCGCAACCCUUAAGCUUAGUUGCCAUCAUUAAGUUGGGCC